UACGAAGGGGGCUAGCGUUGCUCGGAAUUACUGGGCGUAAAGCGCACGUAGGCGGCUUUCUAAGUCGGAGGUGAAAUCCGUGGAGCUCAACUCCAGAACUGCCUUUGAUACUGGAGAGCUUGAGUCCGGGAGAGGUGAGUGGGAACUCCGAAGUGUAGAGGUGAAAGUUCGAUUAGAUAUUCGGAAGAAACACCAGAUGGCGG
RNAcentral lists this ribosomal RNA (203 nucleotides) under uncultured bacterium. RNAcentral describes it as "partial 16S ribosomal RNA". It matches the Rfam family "Bacterial small subunit ribosomal RNA", at positions 524 to 718 of the family's 1533-position model. The record is from RNAcentral.